RNAcentral lists this long non-coding RNA (435 nucleotides) under Mus musculus (house mouse). RNAcentral's name for it is "long non-coding RNA chr7:113295929-113296364". The record is from RNAcentral. Lineage: Eukaryota; Metazoa; Chordata; Mammalia; Rodentia; Muridae.
GGCCACUCUCCUCUGUCCAUAUUGAUGUGUAUAUAGGUAAUGUCACCCACAGAUCAAAAACCUCUAAGUUUACAUUUCUACCGCAGCUUUUCUUUUGAACUCCAGGUAUCUUCUUUAUAAGCUUUAGGGGCGAUCUAGAAUGGCCAAUUGGACCUCAACUUGUACCACCUGCUAAUAUCACUGAAGGGUAUUUAUUUAUGUCCAGGUAUAACAAGAGAUUUUUAAAAAAAAAAAUACAAAGUUCUUAAAAAAAGAUUUAUUUAUUUUAUAACUACACUGUGGAUGUCUUCAGACACAUCAGAAGAGGGUAUCAGAUCUCAUUACAGAUGGUUGUGAGCUACCAUGUGAAUGCUGGGAGUUGAACUCAGGACCUCUGGAAGAGCAGGCAGUGCUCUUAGCCACUGAGCCAUCUCUCCAGCCCAUAGCCAGAGAUUU